RNAcentral lists this ribosomal RNA (939 nucleotides) under Burkholderia cepacia. RNAcentral describes it as "bacterial SSU rRNA". It matches the Rfam family "Bacterial small subunit ribosomal RNA", at positions 488 to 1444 of the family's 1533-position model. Lineage: Bacteria; Pseudomonadati; Pseudomonadota; Betaproteobacteria; Burkholderiales; Burkholderiaceae. The record is from RNAcentral.
AGCACCGGCUAACUACGUGCCCAGCAGCCGCGGUAAUACGUAGGGUGCCGAGCGUUCAUCGGAAUUACUGGGCGUAAAGCGUGCGCAGGCGGUUUGCUAAGACCGAUGUGAAAUCCCCGGGCUCAACUGGGAACUGCAUUGGUGACUGGCAGUAGAGUAUGGCAGAGGGGGGUAGAAUUCCACGUGUAGCAGUGAAAUGCGUAGAGAUGUGGAGGAAUACCGAUGGCGAAGGCAGCCCCCUGGGCCAAUACUGACGCUCAUGCACGAAAGCGUGGGGAGCAAACAGGAUUAGACCCUGGUAGUCCACGCCCUAAACGAUGUCAACUAGUUGUUGGGGAUUCAUUUCCUUAGUAACGUAGCUAACGCGUGAAGUUGACCGCCUGGGGAGUACGGUCGCAAGAUUAAAACUCAAAGGAAUUGACGGGGACCCGCACAAGCGGUGGAUGAUGUGGAUUAAUUCGAUGCAACGCGAAAAACCUUACCUACCCUUGACAUGGUCGGAAUCCUGCUGAGAGGCGGGAGUGCUCGAAAGAGAACCGGCGCACAGGUGCUGCAUGGCUGUCGUCAGCUCGUGUCGUGAGAUGUUGGGUUAAGUCCCGCAACGAGCGCAACCCUUGUCCUUAGUUGCUACGCAAGAGCACUCUAAGGAGACUGCCGGUGACAAACCGGAGGAAGGUGGGGAUGACGUCACAUGGCCCUUAUGGGUAGGUUCACACGUCAUACAAUGGUCGGAACAGAGGGUUGCCAACCCGCGAGGGGGAGCUAAUCCCAGAAAACCGAUCGUAGUCCGGAUUGCACUCUGCAACUCGAGUGCAUGAAGCUGGAAUCGCUAGUAAUCGCGGAUCAGCAUGCCGCGGUGAAUACGUUCCCGGGUCUUGUACACACCGCCCGUCACACCAUGGGAGUGGGUUUUACCAGAAGUGGCUAGUCUAACCGCAA